AUGGGAUGUCCAAAUGCCUGCGUAAUGCCCUGGUGUUGGUGCCAGCUGGGAGUACCCAUCGCUUUUGGAGUCCAGUCCUCUGGUGCUCAGCAGGGCUGCUCUGAGGCAGUGCAGCACAGUGGCAGGUUUCCUCUGCAGUACCACCAGCACUGUCAGUGUCUGAUUUGAACCUGUACCAGACAUGCAGCUUGCAGAGAACAGGCUUGAGUGCAUAGCAGCAGGACAGGAGCUGGAGUUGAGUCCCUCCAAAGUAAAUCCAAGAACAGGCAAAAAACCUCUGAGGAUCUCCUUGCUGCUCCAGUUGCUGGACACUUCCAAUGUGGAAGGACUGCAAAAUCCACUUUUGCACAUGCCAGUCCCAACCACCCUCAGCUUAUGCCCACAGCAGAACUUGGGCCCAUUUUGGGGUGGGUAUAACACGUCCCCAGCUGGCACGGCCAUACCAGGGGCUGCAGGUAGCUGUCUGCCUGCUGCACUGAUGGGCACACCAGGGACAGCGUGAGCCACACUCAGCCCAGGGACAGGAGGAGCACAGGCUGAGGUGGAAGGGAUGACAGAAAACUGCUCAUAAAUAAGGUGAAGUUUUGUAUUUUGUGAACCUGGUUUGCUAAAAAUGCCCCCAGAUUUUAUUCUUCAUACAAAAAUGGGCUCCUUCCUGACUAGAAAUAUAUCCAUUUGAAGUCUAAAUUACUUUGAGAUUAAAGUGCAAAUUAGGUUUCUGGAUUUUAAAAUUCCAUUUUAAUUGAAUGUUGUAGCCAUGUGGAAUUUAAAGAAACUGAAAAUCUCUGAAGCCAAAUGGCAGACUUAUUAUUUGAAAUUUGAUGACAAAUUUGUCCUUAAUUUCAUCCAAUUAUAUUAAGAGGUCUUUCUGUUACAAAGCAUUAAAAAGCACUACUAAGGCCAGAAAGGCGCUAGAGAAAUCUUUUUUCUGUCAUGUGGAGCCCUGUACAGAAUUGCGUGGGUUUAAAUAAAAUGUAUCUUGAUAGUUUACCUUAAAACUCUCUGUCCUUUUCCUCAGUUCAGCUGAAUCCUAUGAAAUAGAUAUGCAGCUUGGAGAAGUUCUUCACACCCCCACAAAUGCUAAAAAUGGCCCUGAUACAACAUGUAUUUAUGUAACAAAAUCAUCUGCAUUAAUAUCUUCCUUUCCUUUCUGCAAGAAGCACAGGAGGGACUCAGGCUGACACAUUUUAAUGCAACCCCUUCCAUUCUCCUUGCAUUUCGGGCAGCAGGGACGAGCAGUGUUUUCCCUCAAAAACCAGGCCACUGAAUGAACAGGAAUAUGACAUGAUUAUUAAUGGGGUGUUCAAAUGGGAAACUGUGGUCCAAGCUUUUGGGCUCUCUCUCUGAAUAUUCAGUACCCUGUUAUGGAUCAAAUUUCUGGGUAACAAUAUUUCUGGUCAUUGUUGUUAUCCUGAUGAUCCAAAAUAACAAGGGCAUUUAGAACAUUUCUUCUACUUUUACCAAGAAGCCAAGAGACUGGCUGGCUCGUGGGAUCAAGCAUGAUGUAUAGAGCCUCUCACCUCUCGUUCACAUCUGGUAGCGUGAAGUGAAGAAUGUUCCUGCUUGACAGCUGUCUGGUGUCGCAUUUGUCACCGUCACAUGCAGGUGGACUUCUGCUCUCUGGACCACGGCCCGUCCCCAGGCACCUGGGCAGGUCUGCAGCCGGAGAAGGGGCUCAGACACCAUGCACACACAGUGCCGGGGUUUACCUCUGCCCCCAGGGCUUGUUCCCUGGGCUCAGAUGGAGGCAUGCGGUCAGGAAGCAGAAGAAGAGUGAAUUAUAGCUGCUGCUGCUGCUGUUGCCACCGUAGAUAGGGUUGGAGGAAGCCUUGCUCACCCUGCCAUGUUUAGCAUCACCAAAGUACCUGGGGACAAACAGCAAACAACCCUCUCUGCUUUCCAGACAGAGCCUUAGAGUACCAACUCUGCUUCUCCCCUCUGGAUGCUGACACCCAACGGUGCAUGGCUCCCUGCCCACCAGCUCCUUUGCAGGCUCUGUUAUUCCCAAGGGGCCGUCCCGAAGAACGACCUCCUGAGCCCGUUCAAACGAUGCUCAGUGCCCCAGCCCGAUGCCUGUUGUGGAAACGAAUCCUAACCAGCAGCGAGGAUCAAACCAAUAUUCUCGGCAGCAGCUGUAAACUCGAUAAGCUGCCUGUCCUCCUUUCUCUCCCCCCGCCCCAUCCCUCCCUUUGGUGUUGAAAUGAAGGCAGAGACAUGCUGAGAGAAGCAGUGCAGCGCUCUGUUUGCAGGAUAAUAUGCCGACCACAUGUAUGUAUUAAAGGCUGUAUGGAGUUAUAAUGAGCCAGGAGCAUUUAAAUGCAAGCCAAGGGGAAUUUGCUAUUCUGUGUGGGCAGAUUUCAAUUGUAAGGUUGGCAGCUCUGGUAUCCUGUUCUCUAAUGCCAUGGGAUGAGAAAAAAUAGGCUUUUCUUUCAGAGCAGUUGAUUAUUGAAUACGCACCAGCUGUUCACCCUAAUCCAAGCUUUCUGUGCUUGCUCCUUGUAAUAGAGGCAUCCCUCAUCCGUCCAUCCAUCUAUCCAUCCCCCCGUUCUCAUUUUCAUGGCUCUUUUGUAAUCUUUCAGAGAGGUGGUUAGCAGAUAUCAGCCAUCUAAAACGACAUAAGCGUCAGUACCAGGCGAGGGUUAUAACUAAUUAACGAGAGAAGAAAGGCACCCCCAGCCAUAUAUUGAAACUCAAAUUAUAUUUCUCAUCCACUGCAAGACAUGAAAAAAAGCCAUCAUGAAUCAGAAGGCAGAGAACCAUUUUUUAGCAGUGACACCUGACUCCGUGCCCAGCAAACCGUGUGGGAUCAGAGCUGGAGCAAGUCCUGUGCCGGUGCGGAGCAGCAGCUGGGCUGUCCCUCCUGCCCCACCGAGAGCCCAGGGACCUGCACCCAGCCAUGCAGCAGCA
Cygnus olor (mute swan) is the source of this 2907-nucleotide long non-coding RNA. RefSeq lists it as uncharacterized. The transcript has 3 exons. The record is from RefSeq and is a predicted model, not a curated record. Lineage: Eukaryota; Metazoa; Chordata; Aves; Anseriformes; Anatidae.